RNAcentral lists this long non-coding RNA (2034 nucleotides) under Acyrthosiphon pisum (pea aphid). RNAcentral describes it as "uncharacterized LOC100570292, transcript variant X1". Lineage: Eukaryota; Metazoa; Arthropoda; Insecta; Hemiptera; Aphididae. The record is from RNAcentral.
GUUCUGUUUAUCUCCCGAUCUUUCGCUGAAAUCGACUGUAAAUGAUUGAUGCAUAAGUCUGUCGCUCGCGAUAUCCCAAAAAGUCUCUUUCUCUUGUUACGAUCACUGGAGGACGGACUCACGGCCCUAAGACGGACACACACGAGAGAACUCUUGAAGCCGCCGACAGCUAGCGUGUCGCCUGAAUAGUGGACUCGAGUACUCGACCACCGAUGCUCUGAGUGAGGUACCUACCUUUUCACUAUCACUUUGUGACGAACGCCUUUGUUUGCUGCAGCCUCCGUUCCAUAUGAUUGCUUCGCUGACAUGUUCCAACAUGACGCUAUCGAUACGAACAUUAAACACGACAAGCCUGUUGAUGAAAUGCUAUCGGAUUGGAUCCAGUGCGUUUGCGUCGUUACCUUUGAAUUGGAGCUUGGCCUGGCGGUGAAGUUGGUCUACCCCAGCGACAUCAAAUUAUCCGAGGAAAUUAAAACUAACCUCUGUUAUCAAGCGUUUCCCAACUCCAAUUCCAGAUGCAUGGGAAUCACUCAAUUCUAUGUCAAGAAAAAGUGUUCUCAAUCUUCAAAUCUCAGUCAACGCCAUACAAAAAAUAUUGCAAAAUUUCCAGUUUUUUUACAAGCUGAUCAUCGUUGUUUAUAUGGGUUUGUUUUCUUUUGACAAAUCAAAUAUAUGUCUUUCACGAGGAUAUUUUCAAAAAAGUUUCCCGUUGGCUUAUGCAAUAUUAACAGGAAAGACACAAGAAAUAUAUGUAGAGUUUCCGUCAUAUAUUAGAAAUGUAUUACUGUUAAUAUACAGUCAACUACCAAUAAUUAGUGACUAUGAAUUUGGAUUGAUGAAUGGGAUUAAAAUUAUAUUCCCUGAAAGCAAUCAAGCAAGGAUGUUACUUCCAUUUUUGCUUAGUAUCUAUAUAAAACAAUUAAAAUAUAAUUUUUGUCAGAAUAUAUAUGUAUAUCGAGAUUUAUAUGUUUUACUUUUCGUUUUAAGCAAUAAUCCGGUAUUUUAGAAAUAAAAAGACGAGCAUUUACAAUCUCAUUAAAAGGAAUCCAAUUGCUGCACGAGUGUUGAGAUUGGUUUUAGCUUUACCAUAUCUGCCUGCAGUUGGAACGGACAACUUUCUUUCAAUGAAGGAUGUAUUCAAACAAUUGUAGAUUAUGUUUACCAAUUUUCCCAAUUUCAUGAUGUAUUGUGAGGGAUUUUUAUUUAUAUUUGGAUGUAUCGGUUUGAAACGAUGAAACCUACUUAUAAUAAAAAUACCAAGAGCAUAUGGGUACACAUGUACACACGAGCAGUGUUUGGACAACUGGCAGCGUCGUCCGAGUAAUAUCCUGAAUACCCAUGUAUAAGCGAGGCGCUGCAUUCGUACACGUGUGGAGUCAAAAUGGAGUAUCAACACGGACGAGAGCAGCUAAUACAAAAACAGUUAAAGAUUACCUAACAGAUUUGACUGAAGAUUUACACGCAGAUCGACUGUUAAUAUUUUUGAGAUGAGCUGACACAGAGUAGAUGGAUAUAUUACACAAUAGUUUGGUCCUUAUCCAAGUGUGUUAUAAUUUAUAAUAUGAUAUUGUUAUUAAAUAUUCAAAUAUUGAUCUACAAUUUCAUAUGAAGAAGAGCUACUAGUAGCUGAUAAUGUUCAAUAAUAAUUUUACCUAUUUUUUUUAUAAGCCUGACAAUUUUGAAUUACAAAUUAAUUUUAAACUGUGUGUACCUAUUUAUUAAGAUUUUUGUAGUUUUUACCACGAUAGUUAAACUGUUUACUACGAUUAUUCAUGAAUAUUUCAUAUUAUUAUAAUAAUAUAAUAUGUGCAGUUGUACUAUUCACACAAAAUAGGUACUUAACUUUUAACUUUAAACUUAAUUAUAUUUUUCUAUAUGGACUUAACUUAACAAGUUAAAAAAAAAAUAUUUUACUAACCAGCCUUGUUUAUUAACAGUAACACAUUCAUAAUCAUUGUAGUAUACUAUUCAAUAUUAAUAACCACACCUUAAGUAUUUAAGCAUCUAUUAUAAAUGUAGAAUGUAUUUUUAUUU